Molecule: long non-coding RNA, 1166 nt
Filed under: Homo sapiens (human)
Lineage: Eukaryota; Metazoa; Chordata; Mammalia; Primates; Hominidae
Description: long non-coding RNA NONHSAT203256.1
Source: RNAcentral
UUCCAACCCCUUUGCGGGGUCCAAGGGCUCCUGGAGGAGGAGAUGACUUCUGGGGCACAGCAAACCAAGAUGUGUGCUCCCCAGAGCUGACUUGGAAGCUGUCCGGCCCCUCUGCAUUCACCCCAGCUGCCCAUGUACACCAGGCAGCAGGAGGGACAGCCACUGCAGGCUGCCAGCCUGUCCUUUGCUGUCUGUGUCUGUGUCAAGAGUGAAUGAAGUGAUAAAACCAGGAGAGCAGUGUGCUGUGAAAAAGUUAAAGGCCUGGACAAGUCAUCGUUUGUCUCAGCUGGAUCAUCCAGGCUGGUCUCUGGGCAUGAAGGCCUAGUGAGGAUUCAGUGAGGCCAUGGGGCCAUGGGAGAAGAGGAGGGGUUGGUCCUGCAGCCCAAGACACCGCUCCAGGAGGACUCAGAACUGCUCAGUGGGUUCUUCCCUUACUACCGCUCUGAGGAGGAGAGUUUGCCCAGCCUGGCCCUUCCUGGCUGGUCACACAGGGGCUCCCAAGAUCUGCCCACUGAGAAGGAGGCACGGGCUGGCUGCUUCUGCAGGACAACAGUCAGGGACGAAUGCUCUGCUCUAACAGGCCCCUGGACAGGCCCCUCUCAGGGCUGCUGCGGCCCUUGGAGCAAGGUGUCACUGGUUGGGAGCACAGACACUGCAGGAAGACUGUCCUGUUCAAGCCCAGCUUGACCACCUGCUAGGAGAGCGGCCUGGGGAACGUGGUUUCCUUAUAAAAGAGAGAACAGCAGCAGCAACAAUAAAGCCAUUGUGAGAAUUACAUACAACCACGUACCUAAAGUGCUCAGCAGGAUGGUGAGCUCACAGAAACAUUUAUUUGGUCCUUAUGACUUAGGAUUUGUGCAUUACUACAGAACCCCUGAGGAGGGGUUACACACUAGCCCUGGGCCUCCUGCCUUUCCAUCUGGGAGCCAGGGGCCCUCAGGGGCUGCCCAGGGCUGGUGCAGUCACACCACGGGGAAGCCGGAGCUGACUGCAACAGAAACCACUGGAGAGCAGGCCCCCAGCACCCACUGACUGUCGAGGGAUGAAGGCUGACCCAAGCUCAGACAGAGGAAGCAGGAGCCACCUGAACAACUGAAGGGUGCAGACACCCAGAAGCUGGUUUUGUAAAUAAAUCGUGCACCUUGGCGCUGGUGCACUAAUUGGAU